AGGACGAACGCUGGCGGCGUGCUUAACACAUGCAAGUCGAGCGGAAAGGCCCUUCGGGGUACUCGAGCGGCGAACGGGUGAGUAACACGUGAGUAAUCUGCCCCUAGCUCUGGGAUAGCUCCGGGAAACCGGGAUUAAUACCGGAUACGACCACCUUAGACAUCUUUUGUGGUGGAAAGAAUUUCGGCUAGGGAUGAGCUCGCGGCCUAUCAGCUUGUUGGUGGGGUAACGGCCUACCAAGGCGACGACGGGUAGCCGGCCUGAGAGGGCGACCGGCCACACUGGGACUGAGACACGGCCCAGACUCCUACGGGAGGCAGCAGUGGGGAAUAUUGCGCAAUGGGCGAAAGCCUGACGCAGCGACGCCGCGUGGGGGAUGAAGGCCUUCGGGUUGUAACCCCUUUCAGCAGGGACGAAGCGAAAGUGACGGUACCUGCAGAAGAAGCGCCGGCUAACUACGUGCCAGCAGCCGC
This 473-nucleotide ribosomal RNA is filed under the name uncultured bacterium. RNAcentral's name for it is "SSU rRNA". It matches the Rfam family "Bacterial small subunit ribosomal RNA", at positions 26 to 518 of the family's 1533-position model. The record is from RNAcentral.